RNAcentral lists this ribosomal RNA (407 nucleotides) under uncultured bacterium. RNAcentral's name for it is "partial 16S ribosomal RNA". It matches the Rfam family "Bacterial small subunit ribosomal RNA", at positions 30 to 526 of the family's 1533-position model. The record is from RNAcentral.
AUUGAACGCUGGCGGCAGGCCUAACACAUGCAAGUCGAGCGGAGCGGCGGACGGGUGAGUAAUGCCUAGGAAUCUGCCUGGUAGAGGGGGAUAAAGUCCGGAAACGGGCGCUAGUACCGCACACUAGCAGAUGAGCCAAGGUCGGAUUAGCUAGUUGGUGGGGUAAUGGCCAACCAAGGCGCAGAUCCGUAACUGGUCUGAGAGGAUGAUAAGUCACACUGGAACUGAGACACGGUCCAGACUCCUACGGGAGGCAGCAGUGGGGAAUAUUGGACAAUGGGCGAAAGCCUGAUGCAGCCAUGCCGCGUGUGUGAAGAAGGCCUUCGGAUUGUAAAGCACUUUAAGUUGGGAGGCGUUACCAACAGAAUAAGCACCGGCUAACUUCGUGCCAGCAGCCGCGGUAAUAC